This 253-nucleotide ribosomal RNA is filed under the name uncultured bacterium. RNAcentral describes it as "partial 16S ribosomal RNA". It matches the Rfam family "Bacterial small subunit ribosomal RNA", at positions 524 to 776 of the family's 1533-position model. The record is from RNAcentral.
UACGUAGGGUGCAAGCGUUGUCCGGAAUUAUUGGGCGUAAAGAGCUCGUAGGCGGUUUGUCGCGUCUGCUGUGAAAACGCGAGGCUCAACCUCGCGCCUGCAGUGGGUACGGGCAAACUAGAGUGCGGUAGGGGAGAUUGGAAUUCCUGGUGUAGCGGUGGAAUGCGCAGAUAUCAGGAGGAACACCGAUGGCGAAGGCAGAUCUCUGGGCCGUAACUGACGCUGAGGAGCGAAAGCGUGGGGAGCGAACAGG